This 250-nucleotide ribosomal RNA is filed under the name uncultured Mogibacterium sp. RNAcentral's name for it is "partial 16S ribosomal RNA". It matches the Rfam family "Bacterial small subunit ribosomal RNA", at positions 89 to 339 of the family's 1533-position model. Lineage: Bacteria; Bacillati; Bacillota; Clostridia; Peptostreptococcales; Anaerovoracaceae. The record is from RNAcentral.
UGGAAAGCGGCGGACGGGUGAGUAACGCGUAGGCAACCUGCCCUUAGCAGAGGGAUAGCCAUUGGAAACGAUGAUUAAAACCUCAUAACACGAUAGCAUCACAUGAUGAAAUCGUCAAAGAUUUAUCGGCUAAGGAUGGGCCUGCGUCUGAUUAACUGGUUGGUGAGGUAACGGCUCACCAAGGUAACGAUCAGUAGCCGACCUGAGAGGGUGAUCGGCCACAUUGGAACUGAGACACGGUCCAAACUUC